GACGAACGCUGGCGGCGUGCUUAACACAUGCAAGUCGAACGGAAAGGCCCUGCUUUUGUGGGGUGCUCGAGUGGCGAACGGGUGAGUAACACGUGAGUAACCUGCCCUUGACUUUGGGAUAACUUCAGGAAACUGGGGCUAAUACCGGAUAGGAGCUCCUGCUGCAUGGUGGGGGUUGGAAAGAUUCGGCGGUUGGGGAUGGACUCGCGGCUUAUCAGCUUGUUGGUGGGGUAGUGGCUUACCAAGGCUUUGACGGGUAGCCGGCCUGAGAGGGUGACCGGCCACAUUGGGACUGAGAUAGGGCCCAGACUCCUACGGGAGGCAGCAGUGGGGAAUAUUGCACAAUGGGCGGAAGCCUGAGGCAGCAACGCCGCGUGCGGGAGGACGGCCUUCGGGUGGUAAACCGCUUUCGCCUGUGACGAAGCGUGAGUGACGGUAAUGGGUAAAGAAGCACCGGCGAACUACGU
This 467-nucleotide ribosomal RNA is filed under the name uncultured bacterium. Its description in RNAcentral is "partial 16S ribosomal RNA". It matches the Rfam family "Bacterial small subunit ribosomal RNA", at positions 28 to 506 of the family's 1533-position model. The record is from RNAcentral.